Gossypium raimondii (Peruvian cotton) is the source of this 1823-nucleotide RNA transcript. RefSeq lists it as uncharacterized. The record is from RefSeq and is a predicted model, not a curated record. The transcript is spliced from 3 exons. NCBI's taxonomy places the organism in Eukaryota, Viridiplantae, Streptophyta, Magnoliopsida, Malvales, Malvaceae.
GUUAGAGCACCCGUUUAGUAAGCGGGAGGUCUUGAGUUCGACUCUCAAUGAAAGCAAUUUACCUCCUUUUCUCAUGGCUAUCCCCUUUUUUUUGGGAUUUUCUUCGUUGACAAAUUCGCUAUACUCUGGCCGUCGUCGGCGUUCGCAACCGCCAUCAGAGCUCUAAAAUUAAAACCCUAAAACCCAAUUUCUCGUUAAACCGAAUCCCUAAUUCACCCUCUUUCUCCUUCCCCGCUUCCCUGCCGGCGGAGGCGAUGGCGGAGCCACCGGAGCCGAGUCUCGCGACUGUUACCUCAAGAUGUAUGCUGUUAAAAAGCCCGACAAAGUCGACCCGAAUGAGCAAAGGUUCGGUAAGUGACUCAAUUGCGCUUUACCGAAUGAACCCUUAAAAGAACCUUGCGUCAUUGAUAAACUAGGCAAUAUUUUUAACAAGGAAGCUCUUGUUCAAGCUUUGUUGGGCAAGAAGUUUCCCAAAGGGUUCAGACAUAUUAAGGGUUUUAAAGAACUGCGGGCAUGUGGUUAGUGCUAAGGCUUUGAAAGAGGUGAAGUCAUCAGCUUGCUUGGUUUGCCAUAAGGAGUUUGUGGAGUCUGAUAAGGUGGUGAUUAAUGGGCGUGAGGCGGAGGUAGCUGCUUUGCGGGAGAUGAUGAAGGAAGAGAAAGCGAAAACGGUGAAGGGGAAGAAGAAAAGAGCGAUGGAUGUUCUGGAUGGGGAGAAGGGCUUUAAGGGAUUGAGUAAUGGUGAGAUGAAGUAUAGAGCUGCGGAUGCGGCACAGGCUCAUGCUACUAAGCAAGUAUAUGCUUUGAUAUUUACCUCUUCGAAGAAGUCCGAUUUUAAGGAAACUUUUACGUGCAGAUCACUCCCACUCGGUCGAAACUGAUGAUAGGCUGGUAUUAUUCUCUAUUCUAUGCUAGUUCAUGAAGGGAGAAUAUUGAUGUUGUUUGAGUUGUAUUUUUAGGUUCUUAUAUGUAUGUGUGUAUAUAUAUUGAAACUGAAUUUAGAUAUACUUGUUUAACCUAAUUUUAGUAGGUAUGUAAUUUCGAUUGAUUGUGUAGUGUAUUUUGGUAGACACCGUUGAAUUUGGGCUUUGGUCCUCAAACAUGGAGGAAAAGAGGAAUGGGUGUUGAGGAUCGGGAGAAGGGCUUUAAGGGAUUGAAUAAUGGUGGGAUGAAGAAGUUUAGAGCUGCGGAUAUGGUGCCAGCUAAUGCUACUAAGGAAGUUUAUUCUUCCAUAUUUUACUACUUAGAAGAAGUCGGAUUUUAGGGGAACUCUUACGUGUAGAUCACUCUGCUGGGUUGAGACUGAUGGAAUGACCUUGGCUAAAUGAAAAUUAAAGCCUUCUCUCCCUAGAAGCUAUUGAUUUCAGCAGAAGGGCAAUCAGGUCGGAGAAAUAAUCAAGGCAAGAGAUAGACGAGUCCUGGCAAUCCCUAGGAAGUCUCAUGAAAGGACCUUGGUAUAUGUGGAAUGGAAUAACAUGUCAAGUCUAAAGCAUGUAAGUUUGUUUCAUAAACUAAAGUAUCAGUACGAAUUAACUUAUACAUGAUGCAGAUGCUCUAACCUUUUUCUAACAUUUGAACAUUUAAGUGAAGCUCAGAAGGUAAAACAGGUAAAUACCUGAGGAGGAUAGUUGUUUAUAUGUGCAUGUGCACACACAUAUGAUCACUUUUUAGGGACACUUAAAAUGUAUCGAAUUGAGCUUACAAGAAUUGGCAUUUCUUCAAUCACAGACAGGCAAGCCAAUUUGAGUGAAGACUCUGGAUUGCAAUUCUUGAAUGUCUGUGUAAACAAUCAAGUUUUUAAUGGUUAAAUCAUCAAUUAACGAGUA